GAUGAACGCUAGCGGCAGGCCUAACACAUGCAAGUCGAGGGGUAACUAGAGUGAUAGCAAUAUUACUUUGGCUAGACCGGCGCACGGGUGCGUAACACGUAUGCAACCUACCUUAUACUGGGGAAUAACUUCGAGAAAUCGGCGCUAAUACCCCAUAACAUUGCGAAGAGGCAUCUCUUUGCAAUUAAAGCUCCGGCGGUAUAAGAUGGGCAUGCGUCCAAUUAGCUAGUUGGUGAGGUAACGGCUCACCAAGGCUACGAUUGGUAGGGGUUCUGAGAGGAUGAUCCCCCACACUGGUACUGAGACACGGACCAGGCUCCUACGGGAGGCAGCAGUGAGGAAUAUUGCGCAAUGGACGAAAGUCUGACGCAGCCAUGCCGCGUGCAGGAUGACGGCCCUAUGGGUUGUAAACUGCUUUUGUACGGGAAUAAACCCUUCUACGUGUAGGAGGCUGAAGGUACCGUAAGAAUAAGCACCGGCUGACUCCGUGCCAGCAGCCGCGGUAA
RNAcentral lists this ribosomal RNA (506 nucleotides) under uncultured bacterium. Its description in RNAcentral is "partial 16S ribosomal RNA". It matches the Rfam family "Bacterial small subunit ribosomal RNA", at positions 28 to 523 of the family's 1533-position model. The record is from RNAcentral.